GACGAACGCUGGCGGUGUGCUUAACACAUGCAAGUCGAACGGUAAGGCCCUUUCGGGGGUACACGAGUGGCGAACGGGUGAGUAACACGUGAGUAACCUGCCCUCAUCUCUGGGAUAACAGUCGGAAACGGUUGCUAAUACUGGAUAUGAGCUUGCAAGGCAUCUUGUGGGUUGGAAAGAUUUUUUUUGGUUGGGGAUGGACUCGCGGCCUAUCAGCUUGUUGGUGAGGUAGUGGCUCACCAAGGCUUCGACGGGUAGCCGGCCUGAGAGGGCGACCGGCCACAUUGGGACUGAGAUACGGCCCAAACUCCUACGGGAGGCAGCAGUGGGGAAUAUUGCACAAUGGACGGAAGUCUGAUGUAGCAACGCCGCGUGCGGGAUGACGGCCUUCGGGUUGUAAACCGCUUUCAAUUGUGACGAGGCUUUUUUGUGACGGUAGCAGUAGAAGAAGCACCGGCUAACUACGUG
Molecule: ribosomal RNA, 468 nt
Filed under: uncultured bacterium
Lineage: Bacteria
Description: partial 16S ribosomal RNA
Rfam family: Bacterial small subunit ribosomal RNA
Source: RNAcentral